CUCCCCGCGCUGCCGCCCCGCCGCCGCCGCGCAGCCCCGCCGGGGCGCCGCGCCGCGCCGCCAGGGCUCGGUCCCCGAGCGGCGGGCACCGUUUGCUGGAGAAGGCGCAGUGUGACCUUCUGGAGGCAGGUGACAGGCACCUGUGGAAGGUGGUCUGUCAAGCUGCCAUCCUGCCUCUCCAGUCUGGCAGGGUUGCAGGCCCCGGACAGGGUCGCAGGCAAAGGCCGAGCACCCCCGGGCCACCAGGCUGAGCACGGUGCCCCUGACGGUGGUCCAGGGCCAUCGCUUCAGCUUUGGUGCAGCUGAAUGGAUCCCAAAACGGUAUCUCCACGUGGUGCCCCAGUCUCUCUGCGCAGCAUGCAUCACUAAUAAAACAUUCAAAUGCAGUCCACAUAAACACUGUGCUGUUUUACAGUCUUGAUGAAUUGUCAGAGCAUUUUCAGAUCAGGUGCUGAAGCCUCACAGCACUAAGAAAAGGAUGGUUUAUUAUCUUCAUGUUACAGGGCCGAAACUGAAGGUACUCUGGGCUUGUUCAAGGUCGUUGAGGAAGAGAUAGCAAUGCAACAGUCCUGUACUCCUACUCUUGGAGUUUUUGAAUACCACAUAAUUUUUCUGCUUUGUCUUGGAAAAAUCCUCCCAUUUCGGACAUUUAUCUUGAGUGUCAUUCCUCAAGCUGCCAACGUCCAAAUGGAGAUACCGUAUGUGACAAAGCCAUAUAUAAUGAUGGUAACAUAAAAGAGUAGCAUCUACAUGACUUCAAAUACUAUGGCAUUCUUGACCUAAGAACUCUAUGAUUUCAGAGAUCACAAUUUAAACUACGCAAGUGGUAAGCUACCAUGCCUGUAGGGAAACUAUGGGAACAAAAAUGAGUGGUAUUCUUUGAAAUGAGACACAUUUGUGGCAGGUGAGCUAAACUCAAUCCACUCUGAUUUGAUAGUAUAAUUUACAAAUCCUGUGUCAUGACAUUGUAAAUUCAUGGUGAUUCAAAAAUAUCUGGAAAAAUGGGACUGCUAUGAGACAUAAAUAAAUUCAAGGAAAUAUCUUUAAAAAAAAAUCCCAGCAGAAGCAAAAGCUGCAGAAAAUGCGAUGUCUCUACUUUGGAAUUUUUUUGUCUACCUCUUUAUUAGAUCAGAAUGUAAAUUAUCAUAAGCAUCAGAGAGAACAUGGCUCUGUCCUCCACAGCAUGAAUUACCUUGUGAAUUUCUAAGCAGAGGCUAUUCACUCCAGAAAUAGGAAAGGCACAUACUGUUUCUUAUGAGAAUGGUGUCCAAGAGUUUGGCAUACUGGACAGACUACAAACACCUAUAGUCCAAAAUGGAACGGAAAAAAUGAUAAUUUUUGUAUAAAAUCUGGGACAAAUGUAACCCAAAUUGACAUACUGCAGUCAUUAGUUUAAAUGCCAAGAACAUUAAAAAAUGAAUGUCAGUAUUGGGUGAGAACUAUUCAUCCUAUAUACUAAAUGUCACCAGCACCAAGAGUGAAAAAGAAGCCAAGAGUUGAAGGUGCCAAUAGUUGCAGCCUGUACUAGUUGAGGCCACUCCAGCUAUUCAAAGUAUCCUGCUCGCUGAUAUAAAAUGCAGCUCCUGCCUACUACUUUAGUUUCUUUCUUCCCAUGGUGGAAACAAAAGACCUAGAAAUACUUAUUUAUUCUGCAAUGAUGGCAUCUUUAAAUAAAUUGCUGUUGAGAUAGCAUUCAUAAAGCAAUAAUAUAAACUGUAUUUCAAAGAAAUUGAUUAAUUAUUCUAAAUUUGCAAAUGGAGAAACUGAAUCAUCUAAGGUCACACAAGAGACUUGUAACAAGGAAUUUGAGACCACUGCAACUGGAUUUAAGUGUCAGUCAGAGUCCUAUCCAUGAGGCCAUGAAUGUAUGAGGUCACGCGGUUGUGGAAUCUCCAUCCUUGGGGUUACUCUAAACUCAGGCUCUAAACUCAGAGACUGGGCAAGUCCCUAAGCAACCUGAUCUAAUUGGAUCUCUUUUGAGCAAAGGGCUUUAGAGAUUUAUUUCAACAGAAGUCAUUCUAUGAAUUUGUGAAGUUAAAAGUGAAUAAUGCUUUGUUCUUAUUCUGCAUGUUCUUAUUCUAAUUUCUUAAAGUGUUAUUUAUCAUUGUGCUUUCUUUCCAGUCAGUAUUUACAUUUGCUUUACUACAAACAAAGUGUAAUUAAUACUGUAUCAAAGCAUUGAAGAAUAACCUCUUUUCUGGAAACAGUUCUGAAAAUGUUGCAUCUACAAUGAAUAUUCACUAGAGGUGGUCAAAAAACCCGAAACAUUUCUUACAAAAACCAUGUUCCUUUUUUGGUUGAGUAAUUCCAACCAUCUCUGAUGUGCCAUUUCAUGGGGGAGAAUCCAAACCAACACUGCAAAGGGAAGAGUGAUGGUGUUUUACAACUUCUAGUAUCAAAAGUAUUUUUUAUAUGAAAAUCGUAUUAUGUGUUCAUUAGUAUGUCAUGUGAUUUCUUACAUUAUCAUGGCAUCUUACACACUAUUAAAAUCACCAUGACAGCAUUUUCGUAUACUUAAAUCAAUUUUACUUUCCUCUGACUCUUUUACAUUUUGAUGAGACCUCACUUUGAACUACUACUUUUCAUUUAAUAAGGUGAAAUCUCUUUGGAGUGUGGUAAUUGUUCUGAAUUUGGGGGGGGGAGGGGUCACUUGAUCCCACUGACAUUAACAUACAAAUUCUAGUUUCUUUGCUAUAUAACUAAAUAAAAGAAUCACCUGAUUUUCUGUCACACACAA
Dromaius novaehollandiae (emu) is the source of this 2737-nucleotide long non-coding RNA. RefSeq lists it as uncharacterized. NCBI's taxonomy places the organism in Eukaryota, Metazoa, Chordata, Aves, Casuariiformes, Dromaiidae. The transcript is spliced from 2 exons. The record is from RefSeq and is a predicted model, not a curated record.